Non-coding RNA from Pelodiscus sinensis (Chinese soft-shelled turtle), 512 nucleotides. The record is from RefSeq and is a predicted model, not a curated record. NCBI's taxonomy places the organism in Eukaryota, Metazoa, Chordata, Testudines, Trionychidae.
CAUGGUAGCAGUGGGCUUGUCACUGCCAUUUGGUUUAUGACAUCGCCGGAUAAAUUAAGCCCGGGAAGGUGGCAGGGUUGAAAGACACAGGGACCUCAGCUUUCCCACACGGCAGUGAUGGGAUAACUAGGGCAAUGGAUAAAAGGCGGACCCGGAGCGCAACCCGACCUUGGUUGUAAAAAUGCCCAUGGAGCUGACGCAAAGCCGGAUCCAGAAGAUUUGGCUCCCCAAUGAUAACUUCCCUGCGCUGCCCCGCAGAUUUUGGACUGUUCAGAAAUUGGAGGAUGAGCUUCCCCGGGCAAUGUUUGAACUGAGCUGCUUUUACUGUUCCGGCAACCACUCCUCUCUAGCACACAGGGACUUCCCUUCGCAGCAUAAGUUACUCUGCUUCUGAUUGGGUAAAUCAGGAUUCCAUCAAACUGCUCCACCCGCAGCAGUUUCCGGAAAGGCUGAAGUUUGACUCUAAAUAUAUUGCAAUCGAGUAUCUGGCUUCUACUGCUAAGCGAUGUGAA